This 489-nucleotide ribosomal RNA is filed under the name uncultured bacterium. RNAcentral describes it as "partial 16S ribosomal RNA". It matches the Rfam family "Bacterial small subunit ribosomal RNA", at positions 30 to 507 of the family's 1533-position model. The record is from RNAcentral.
UUGAACGCUGGCGGCAGGCCUAACCCAUGCAAGUCGAACGGUAACAGGAAGCAGCUUGCUGCUUCGCUGACGAGUGGCGGACGGGUGAGUAAUGUCUGGGAAGCUGCCUGAUGGAGGGGGAUAACUACUGGAAACGGUAGCUAAUACCGCAUAAUGUCGCAAGACCAAAGAGGGGGACCUUCGGGCCUCUUGCCAUCGGAUGUGCCCAGAUGGGAUUAGCUUGUUGGUGGGGUAACGGCUCACCAAGGCGACGAUCCCUAGCUGGUCUGAGAGGAUGACCAGCCACACUGGGACUGAGACACGGUCCAGACUCCUACGGGAGGCAGCAGUGGGGAAUAUUGCACAAAGGGCGCAAGCCUGAUGCAGCCAUGCCGCGUGUAUGAAGAAGGCCUUCGGGUUGUAAAGUACUUUCAGCGGGGAGGAAGGGAGUAAAGUUAAUACCUUUGCUCAUUGACGUUACCCGCAGAAGAAGCACCGGCUAACUCCGUG